GCAUUAAUAGCUUAACUACAAAGCAUCGGUCUUGUAAUCCGAAGAUCGGAGGUUAAACCCCUCCUUAAUGCC
Molecule: transfer RNA, 72 nt
Filed under: Prochilodus vimboides
Lineage: Eukaryota; Metazoa; Chordata; Actinopteri; Characiformes; Prochilodontidae
Description: tRNA-Thr
Rfam family: tRNA
About the family: Transfer RNA (tRNA) molecules are approximately 80 nucleotides in length. Their secondary structure includes four short double-helical elements and three loops (D, anti-codon, and T loops). Further hydrogen bonds mediate the characteristic L-shaped molecular structure. tRNAs have two regions of fundamental functional importance: the anti-codon, which is responsible for specific mRNA codon recognition, and the 3' end, to which the tRNAs corresponding amino acid is attached (by aminoacyl-tRNA synthetases). tRNAs cope with the degeneracy of the genetic code in two manners: having more than one tRNA (with a specific anti-codon) for a particular amino acid; and 'wobble' base-pairing, i.e. permitting non-standard base-pairing at the 3rd anti-codon position.
Source: RNAcentral